AUUGAACGCUGGCGGCAUGCCUUACACAUGCAAGUCGAACGGCAGCACGGGUGCUUGCACCUGGUGGCGAGUGGCGCACGGGUGAGUAAUACAUCGGAACAUGUCCUGUAGUGGGGGAUAGUCCGGCGAAAGCCGGAUUAAUACCGCCUACGAUCUACGGAUGAAAGCGGGGGACCUUCGGGCCUCGCGCUUUAGGGUUGCCCGUUGGCUGAUUAGCUAGUUGGUGGGGUAAAGGCCUACCAAGGCGACGAUCAGUAGCUGAUCUGAGAGGACGACCAGCCACACUGGGACUGAGACACGGCCCAGACUCCUACGGGAGGCAGCAGUGGGGAAUUUUGGGCAAUGGGCGAAAGCCUGAUCCAGCAAUGCCGCGUGUGUGAAGAAGGCCUUCGGAUUGUAAAGCACUUUUGUCCGGAAAGAAAACCUUGGCCCUAAUACGGUCGGGGGAUGACGGUACCGGAAGAAUAAGCACCGGCUAACUACGUG
RNAcentral lists this ribosomal RNA (486 nucleotides) under uncultured bacterium. RNAcentral's name for it is "partial 16S ribosomal RNA". It matches the Rfam family "Bacterial small subunit ribosomal RNA", at positions 30 to 507 of the family's 1533-position model. The record is from RNAcentral.